GGGCUUGUGGUUUAGUGGUAUAAUACUCCCUUAGCACCGUUAGAUGCAAAGAUCAUGCGAUUAUACAGCAAGAUUAAGCUCCAACACCCGCUUGGGAGUGGUCCGGGGUUCGAUUCCCCGCGAGUCCA
Annulohypoxylon bovei var. microspora is the source of this 128-nucleotide non-coding RNA. The record is from the annotation of a GenBank genome assembly. Lineage: Eukaryota; Fungi; Ascomycota; Sordariomycetes; Xylariales; Hypoxylaceae.